Molecule: long non-coding RNA, 445 nt
Organism: Mobula hypostoma (lesser devil ray)
Lineage: Eukaryota; Metazoa; Chordata; Chondrichthyes; Myliobatiformes; Myliobatidae
Exons: 3
Source: RefSeq, a predicted model, not a curated record
CAGAGGGGCAUACAAAUGAAUAAAAAGCAAACUCAAAACACAUCUGGAAAAGCCCAGACUACAAGGCAUAGGAGCAGAACUAGGCUGUUUGACCCAUUGAGGUUCGCAAAAUCUGAAGGGCAGUGCUAAUGGUCAAAGUCCAGAGUUUGGCAAGUCCAGAGGUAGAAACCUUGAAAGGUCAAAGACUAAAGUCGGCGAGUCUGGAGCACCAGCGAUCACUAAUGGGGCUCCAUCCCACAGCUGUAUGUACGCUCUCCCUGUGACUGCUUGGUUCUUCUCCAGAUGCUCCCGAUUCCUCCCACGUUUCAAAGACACACGGCUAGGUUUAGGGUUUGUGAUAUUCGUAACUCGCUGUGCUGGAGCUAGGAGCUUGGUGACACCUGCAGGCUGCUCCCAGCACUAUCCUCCGUUGUUGAUGCAUUCUGCUACACGUUUUGAUGUUUCA